RNAcentral lists this ribosomal RNA (2626 nucleotides) under Staphylococcus aureus. RNAcentral's name for it is "partial 23S ribosomal RNA". It matches the Rfam family "Bacterial large subunit ribosomal RNA", at positions 296 to 2925 of the family's 2925-position model. The record is from RNAcentral. Lineage: Bacteria; Bacillati; Bacillota; Bacilli; Caryophanales; Staphylococcaceae.
UUGUAGGACACUCUAUACGGAGUUACAAAGGACGACAUUAGACGAAUCAUCUGGAAAGAUGAAUCAAAGAAGGUAAUAAUCCUGUAGUCGAAAAUGUUGUCUCUCUUGAGUGGAUCCUGAGUACGACGGAGCACGUGAAAUUCCGUCGGAAUCUGGGAGGACCAUCUCCUAAGGCUAAAUACUCUCUAGUGACCGAUAGUGAACCAGUACCGUGAGGGAAAGGUGAAAAGCACCCCGGAAGGGGAGUGAAAUAGAACCUGAAACCGUGUGCUUACAAGUAGUCAGAGCCCGUUAAUGGGUGAUGGCGUGCCUUUUGUAGAAUGAACCGGCGAGUUACGAUUUGAUGCAAGGUUAAGCAGUAAAUGUGGAGCCGUAGCGAAAGCGAGUCUGAAUAGGGCGUUUAGUAUUUGGUCGUAGACCCGAAACCAGGUGAUCUACCCUUGGUCAGGUUGAAGUUCAGGUAACACUGAAUGGAGGACCGAACCGACUUACGUUGAAAAGUGAGCGGAUGAACUGAGGGUAGCGGAGAAAUUCCAAUCGAACCUGGAGAUAGCUGGUUCUCUCCGAAAUAGCUUUAGGGCUAGCCUCAAGUGAUGAUUAUUGGAGGUAGAGCACUGUUUGGACGAGGGGCCCCUCUCGGGUUACCGAAUUCAGACAAACUCCGAAUGCCAAUUAAUUUAACUUGGGAGUCAGAACAUGGGUGAUAAGGUCCGUGUUCGAAAGGGAAACAGCCCAGACCACCAGCUAAGGUCCCAAAAUAUAUGUUAAGUGGAAAAGGAUGUGGCGUUGCCCAGACAACUAGGAUGUUGGCUUAGAAGCAGCCAUCAUUUAAAGAGUGCGUAAUAGCUCACUAGUCGAGUGACACUGCGCCGAAAAUGUACCGGGGCUAAACAUAUUACCGAAGCUGUGGAUUGUCCUUUGGACAAUGGUAGGAGAGCGUUCUAAGGGCGUUGAAGCAUGAUCGUAAGGACAUGUGGAGCGCUUAGAAGUGAGAAUGCCGGUGUGAGUAGCGAAAGACGGGUGAGAAUCCCGUCCACCGAUUGACUAAGGUUUCCAGAGGAAGGCUCGUCCGCUCUGGGUUAGUCGGGUCCUAAGCUGAGGCCGACAGGCGUAGGCGAUGGAUAACAGGUUGAUAUUCCUGUACCACCUAUAAUCGUUUUAAUCGAUGGGGGGACGCAGUAGGAUAGGCGAAGCGUGCGAUUGGAUUGCACGUCUAAGCAGUAAGGCUGAGUAUUAGGCAAAUCCGGUACUCGUUAAGGCUGAGCUGUGAUGGGGAGAAGACAUUGUGUCUUCGAGUCGUUGAUUUCACACUGCCGAGAAAAGCCUCUAGAUAGAAAAUAGGUGCCCGUACCGCAAACCGACACAGGUAGUCAAGAUGAGAAUUCUAAGGUGAGCGAGCGAACUCUCGUUAAGGAACUCGGCAAAAUGACCCCGUAACUUCGGGAGAAGGGGUGCUCUUUAGGGUUAACGCCCAGAAGAGCCGCAGUGAAUAGGCCCAAGCGACUGUUUAUCAAAAACACAGGUCUCUGCUAAACCGUAAGGUGAUGUAUAGGGGCUGACGCCUGCCCGGUGCUGGAAGGUUAAGAGGAGUGGUUAGCUUCUGCGAAGCUACGAAUCGAAGCCCCAGUAAACGGCGGCCGUAACUAUAACGGUCCUAAGGUAGCGAAAUUCCUUGUCGGGUAAGUUCCGACCCGCACGAAAGGCGUAACGAUUUGGGCACUGUCUCAACGAGAGACUCGGUGAAAUCAUAGUACCUGUGAAGAUGCAGGUUACCCGCGACAGGACGGAAAGACCCCGUGGAGCUUUACUGUAGCCUGAUAUUGAAAUUCGGCACAGCUUGUACAGGAUAGGUAGGAGCCUUUGAAACGUGAGCGCUAGCUUACGUGGAGGCGCUGGUGGGAUACUACCCUAGCUGUGUUGGCUUUCUAACCCGCACCACUUAUCGUGGUGGGAGACAGUGUCAGGCGGGCAGUUUGACUGGGGCGGUCGCCUCCUAAAAGGUAACGGAGGCGCUCAAAGGUUCCCUCAGAAUGGUUGGAAAUCAUUCAUAGAGUGUAAAGGCAUAAGGGAGCUUGACUGCGAGACCUACAAGUCGAGCAGGGUCGAAAGACGGACUUAGUGAUCCGGUGGUUCCGCAUGGAAGGGCCAUCGCUCAACGGAUAAAAGCUACCCCGGGGAUAACAGGCUUAUCUCCCCCAAGAGUUCACAUCGACGGGGAGGUUUGGCACCUCGAUGUCGGCUCAUCGCAUCCUGGGGCUGUAGUCGGUCCCAAGGGUUGGGCUGUUCGCCCAUUAAAGCGGUACGCGAGCUGGGUUCAGAACGUCGUGAGACAGUUCGGUCCCUAUCCGUCGUGGGCGUAGGAAAUUUGAGAGGAGCUGUCCUUAGUACGAGAGGACCGGGAUGGACAUACCUCUGGUGUACCAGUUGUCGUGCCAACGGCAUAGCUGGGUAGCUAUGUGUGGACGGGAUAAGUGCUGAAAGCAUCUAAGCAUGAAGCCCCCCUCAAGAUGAGAUUUCCCAACUUCGGUUAUAAGAUCCCUCAAAGAUGAUGAGGUUAAUAGGUUCGAGGUGGAAGCAUGGUGACAUGUGGAGCUGACGAAUACUAAUCGAUCGAAGACUUAAUCAA